CCUGACGGCGCCAUGUUCCCUCGUUUCUUCACGCUUCCCUCAUCUGCAGGUGGCCUUCUUGAGUCCGAAGAGAAGCAACGAAGUUGGACUAAAUGGAUGGAAACAGAGAUGCCUCAUGAAGUCAAGCCUGGUGGAAAGGAAACAAGACCAGGAGACUUGUGACAAAAAUUGAUGCUCAAGUUUAGGUCAUGGAAUUUGAGGUUCGUCAUACAGUGAAAACCAAACAUUAACCCUGUGAAAGUAAUUGUUUUAGCAAUAUGCUCUUGCAAAUGUAACUCUUGGAAUAUUAGAUCGCUUCAACUCAUCGUCAUUGCUUAAA
This is a non-coding RNA of Musa acuminata subsp. malaccensis (wild Malaysian banana), 319 nucleotides long. Lineage: Eukaryota; Viridiplantae; Streptophyta; Magnoliopsida; Zingiberales; Musaceae. The record is from RefSeq and is a predicted model, not a curated record.